This 253-nucleotide ribosomal RNA is filed under the name uncultured bacterium. Its description in RNAcentral is "partial 16S ribosomal RNA". It matches the Rfam family "Bacterial small subunit ribosomal RNA", at positions 524 to 776 of the family's 1533-position model. The record is from RNAcentral.
UACGUAGGGUGCGAGCGUUGUCCGGAAUUACUGGGCGUAAAGAGCUCGUAGGUGGUUUGUCGCGUUGUUCGUGAAAACUCACAGCUUAACUGUGGGCGUGCGGGCGAUACGGGCAGACUGGAGUACUGCAGGGGAGACUGGAAUUCCUGGUGUAGCGGUGGAAUGCGCAGAUAUCAGGAGGAACACCGGUGGCGAAGGCGGGUCUCUGGGACGGUACUGACGCUGAGACGCGAAAGCGUGGGGAGCGAACAGG